GCGGGCGUGGCGGAAUUGGUAAACGCGCCAGAUUUAGGAUCUGGUACCUUCGGUUUGGGGGUUCGAGUCCCUCCGCCCGCACCA
RNAcentral lists this transfer RNA (84 nucleotides) under Pseudodesulfovibrio sp. JC047. Its description in RNAcentral is "tRNA-Leu". It matches the Rfam family "tRNA". Rfam says of the family: Transfer RNA (tRNA) molecules are approximately 80 nucleotides in length. Their secondary structure includes four short double-helical elements and three loops (D, anti-codon, and T loops). Further hydrogen bonds mediate the characteristic L-shaped molecular structure. tRNAs have two regions of fundamental functional importance: the anti-codon, which is responsible for specific mRNA codon recognition, and the 3' end, to which the tRNAs corresponding amino acid is attached (by aminoacyl-tRNA synthetases). tRNAs cope with the degeneracy of the genetic code in two manners: having more than one tRNA (with a specific anti-codon) for a particular amino acid; and 'wobble' base-pairing, i.e. permitting non-standard base-pairing at the 3rd anti-codon position. Lineage: Bacteria; Pseudomonadati; Thermodesulfobacteriota; Desulfovibrionia; Desulfovibrionales; Desulfovibrionaceae. The record is from RNAcentral.